GUGAGCAGACAGGGAGUGGUGGGG
This 24-nucleotide microRNA is filed under the name Mus musculus (house mouse). RNAcentral's name for it is "mmu-miR-7018-5p". Lineage: Eukaryota; Metazoa; Chordata; Mammalia; Rodentia; Muridae. The record is from miRBase by way of RNAcentral.